This 273-nucleotide ribosomal RNA is filed under the name uncultured bacterium. RNAcentral describes it as "partial 16S ribosomal RNA". It matches the Rfam family "Bacterial small subunit ribosomal RNA", at positions 524 to 796 of the family's 1533-position model. The record is from RNAcentral.
UACGUAGGGGGCAAGCGUUGUCCGGAAUCAUUGGGCGUAAAGCGCGUGUAGGCGGCCCACUAAGUCCGCUCUGAAAGCCCGGGGCUCAACCCCGGGAGGCGGGUGGAUACUGGUGGGCUCGAGUCCGGAAGAGGUCAGUGGAAUUCCCGGUGUAGCGGUGAAAUGCGCAGAUAUCGGGAGGAACACCAAUGGCGAAGGCAGCUGACUGGGACGUGACUGACGCUGAGACGCGAAAGCGUGGGGAGCAAACAGGAUUAGAAACCCCCGUAGUCC